RNAcentral lists this ribosomal RNA (456 nucleotides) under uncultured bacterium. Its description in RNAcentral is "SSU rRNA". It matches the Rfam family "Bacterial small subunit ribosomal RNA", at positions 26 to 518 of the family's 1533-position model. The record is from RNAcentral.
AGAACGAACGCUGGCGGCAUGCCUAACACAUGCAAGUCGAACGCUUCCGGGGCUUCGGUCGCGGAGGAGUGGCGCACGGGUGAGUAGCGCGUGGGAACCUGCCCUGUUGUGGGGGAUAACCGCGGGAAACUGCGGCUAAUACCCUAUGAGUCCUUCGGGAGAAAGAUUUAUCGCCAUAGGAGGGGCCCGCGUCGGAUUAGGUAGUUGGUGGGGUAACGGCCUACCAAGCCUUCGAUCCGUAGCUGGUCUGAGAGGAUGAUCAGCCACACUGGGACUGAGACACGGCCCAGACUCCUACGGGAGGCAGCAGUGGGGAAUAUUGGACAAUGGGCGCAAGCCUGAUCCAGCAAUGCCGCGUGAGUGAUGAAGGCCUUAGGGUUGUAAAGCUCUUUCGCCCGCGACGAUGAUGACGGUAGCGGGAGAAGAAGCCCCGGCUAACUUCGUGCCAGCAGCCGC